Molecule: ribosomal RNA, 2120 nt
Filed under: human gut metagenome
Description: bacterial LSU rRNA
Rfam family: Bacterial large subunit ribosomal RNA
Source: RNAcentral
AACCCGGGGAACUGAAACAUCUAAGUACCCGGAGGAAAAGAAAUCAAACGAGAUGCCCACAGUAGCGGCGAGCGAAGAGGGCAGAGCCCAAACCUGUAAGCUACGGCUUAUGGGGGUUGAGGACUGACGUAAUUAAGGCCAGGCUUAGCUGAACUACCUGGGAAGGUAGGCUAUAUAAGGUAAGAGCCCUGUAAGCGAAAGGCAGAGCCUUAAGGUCAGUAUCCAGAGUACCACGGAGCACGAGGAAUUCUGUGGGAAGCAGGGGGGACCACCCUCCAAGGCUAAAGACUAACUGGCGACCGAUAGCGCAUAGUACCGUGAGGGAAAGGUGAAAAGAACCCCGGGAGGGGAGUGAAAUAGUACCUGAAACCGUAUGUCUACAAGCAGUCGGAGCGAAAGCGACGGCGUGCCUAUUGAAGAAUGAACCAACGAGUUAUCUGCACUAGCGAGGUUAAGUGGAAGACACGGAGCCGUAGCGAAAGCGAGUCUGAAAAGGGCGGCUAGUUAGUGUAGGUAGACCCGAAACCGCAGUGAUCUACCCAUGUCCAGGUUGAAGCGCAGGUAAAAAUGCGUGGAGGACCGAACCGGUGAGCGUUGAAAAGCUUUCGGAUGAGAUGUGGGUAGGGGUGAAAUUCCAAUCGAACGCGGAGAUAGCUGGUUCUCCCCGAAAUAGCUUUAGGGCUAGCCUCAGGUAGUAAGUAUAGGCGGUAGAGCACUGAUCGGGCUAGGGGCCAUAAAGGUUACCGAACCCUGUCAAACUCCGAAUGGAUAUACUGCAGAGCCUGGGAGUCAGACUACGAGUGAUAAGAUCCGUGGUCAAAAGGGAAACAGCCCAGACCACCGGCUAAGGUCCCAAAUGCCGUACUAAGUGGAAAAGGAUGUGGGGAUUCAUAAACAACCAGGAUGUUGGCUCAGAAGCAGCCACCAUUUAAAGAGUGCGUAAUAGCUCACUGGUCGAGAGUCCCUGCGCCGAAAAUUUCCGGGGCUAAAGUACGGAACCGAAGCCGUGGCUGUGUACUUAAGUGCACGGGGUAGGGGAGCGUUGCCACAGGGGUGAAGCUGGUCUGGAAGGACUGGUGGACUUGUGGGAAGUGAGAAUGUUGGUAUGAGUAGCGAAAAGAAAGGUGAGAAUCCUUUCCACCGAAAGCAUAAGGAUUCCUGAGCAACGAUCGUCGUCUCAGGGUAAGUCGGGACCUAAUCCGAGGCAAAGAGCGUAGGAGAUGGACAACAGGUUGAUAUUCCUGUACCGGCAGCAAUUGUUUGAGCGAAGGAGUGACACAGAAGGGCAGGCAGGCGCGAGACUGGAUUGUCGCGUGCAAGCGUGUAGGGUAGUGUACAGGCAAAUCCGUACACUGAAAGCCUGAGGCGUUACGCGGAGCGAGCAGAGAUGCGAGCGAAGCUGCUGAUCCCACACUGUCGAGAAAAGCUUCUAGUGAGAGAGCUGCCGCCCGUACCGUAAACCGACACAGGUAUGCGGGGAGAGAAUCCUAAGGUGCGCGGGAGAACCCUCGUUAAGGAACUCGGCAAAAUGUACCCGUAACUUCGGGAUAAGGGUAGCCGUCUUGGUGAAGGAGCAUGCCUCUGGAGCUGAAGGCGGUCGCAGAGAAGAGGCCCAAGCGACUGUUUACCACAAACACAGGUGCCUGCUAAAGCGAAAGCUGACGUAUAGGUGCUGACACCUGCCCAGUGCUGGAAGGUUAAGGAAGGAUGUCCGGGCAACCAAAGCAUUCGACCGAAGCCCCAGUGAACGGCGGCCGUAACUAUAACGGUCCUAAGGUAGCGAAAUUCCUUGUCGGGUAAGUUCCGACCCGCACGAAAGGUGUAACGAUUUGGGCACUGUCUCAACGAGGGACCCGGUGAAAUUGAAAUACCUGUGAAGAUGCAGGUUACCCGCGACUGGACAGAAAGACCCCAUGGAGCUUUACUGUAACCUGACAUUGGGUUUUGUUGUAUUACGUACAGGAUAGGUGGGAGGCUUAGAAGGCUGGACGCUAGUCUGGCUGGAGCCGACGUUGGGAUACCACCCUUGAUACAACGGAAUUCUAACCGAGAGAGUAACGAAAUCCGGGACAGUGUCAGGCGGGCAGUUUGACUGGGGCGGUCGCCUCCGAAAGAGUAAC